AACCAGAAGGCGCAAUGAAAGUGAAGGCACGGUCGCCGUGCUGAGGUGAGAGCCGUCCUCGACGGCACAUCAUCGACCGAUCCCAUCCGCUCCCUCGGGUGCGGCGGGAUUCGAGUAAGAGUGUACCUGUUGCGACCCGAAAGAUGGUGAACUAUGCCUGAAUAGGGUGAAGCCAGAGGAAACUCUGGUGGAGGCCCGUAGCGAUUCUGACGUGCAAAUCGAUCGUCAAAUUUGGGUAUAGGGGCGAAAGACUAAUCGAACCAUCUAGUAGCUGGUUCCCUCCGAAGUUUCCCUUAGGAUAGCUGUAGCCCUAAGCAGUUUUAUCAGGUAAAGCGAAUGAUUAGAGGUAUCGGGGAAGAAACUUCCUCGACCUAUUCUCAAACUUUAAAUAGGUAAGAAGUCCGACUUGCUCAAUUUGAAGCCGGACACAGAAUGCUGGGUUACUAGUGGGCCAUUUUUGGUAAGCAGAACUGGCGAUGCGGGAUGAACCGAACGCCGAGUUAAGGUGCCAAAGUCGACGCUCAUCAGAUCCCACAAA
Molecule: ribosomal RNA, 538 nt
Filed under: Psammocinia sp. NZ067
Lineage: Eukaryota; Metazoa; Porifera; Demospongiae; Dictyoceratida; Irciniidae
Description: eukaryotic LSU rRNA
Rfam family: Eukaryotic large subunit ribosomal RNA
Source: RNAcentral